UACGUAGGGUGCGAGCGUUUGUCCGGAAUUACUGGGCGUAAAGAGCUCGUAGGUGGUUUGUCGCGUUGUCCGUGAAAACUCACAACUCAAUUGUGGGCGUGCGGGCGAUACGGGCAGACUGGAGUACUGCAGGGGAGACUGGAAUUCCUGGUGUAGCGGUGGAAUGCGCAGAUAUCAGGAGGAACACCGGUGGCGAAGGCGGGUCUCUGGGCCGAUACUGACGUGAGGAGCGAAAGCGUGGGGGAGCGAACAGG
Molecule: ribosomal RNA, 254 nt
Filed under: uncultured bacterium
Lineage: Bacteria
Description: partial 16S ribosomal RNA
Rfam family: Bacterial small subunit ribosomal RNA
Source: RNAcentral